GAGACGGGAUGGAAUGACCCUUCGGGGGAAUGAAAUCCUAGAAAGUGGCGAACGGGUGAGUAACGCGUGGGUAACCUGCCCUAUGGAAAGGAAUAGCCUCGGGAAACUGGGAGUAAUGCCUUAUAAUAUACGAGAGUCGCAUGGCUUUUGUAUUAAACGCUCCGGUGCCAUAGGAUGGACCCGCGUCCCAUUAGCUAGUUGGUGAGAUAACAGCCCACCAAGGCAACGAUGGGUAACCGGUCUGAGAGGGCGAACGGUCACACUGGAACUGAGACACGGUCCAGACUCCUACGGGAGGCAGCAGUGGGGAAUAUUGCGCAAUGGGGGCAACCCUGACGCAGCAAUACCGCGUGAGUGAAGAAGGUUUUCGGAUCGUAAAGCUCUGUUAUUGGGGAAGAAAAAAGACGGUACCCAAGAAGAAAGUCCCGGCUAACUACGUGCCAGCAGCCGCGGUAAUAC
RNAcentral lists this ribosomal RNA (459 nucleotides) under uncultured Acetobacterium sp. RNAcentral's name for it is "bacterial SSU rRNA". It matches the Rfam family "Bacterial small subunit ribosomal RNA", at positions 59 to 526 of the family's 1533-position model. The record is from RNAcentral. Lineage: Bacteria; Bacillati; Bacillota; Clostridia; Eubacteriales; Eubacteriaceae.